This 834-nucleotide long non-coding RNA is filed under the name Rosa chinensis. RNAcentral's name for it is "sRNA RchiOBHm_Chr6g0281531". The record is from RNAcentral. Lineage: Eukaryota; Viridiplantae; Streptophyta; Magnoliopsida; Rosales; Rosaceae.
GAAUUCAGCGCAACUAGUGGGCCAACGCAGUGGAAGAGAGAGACUAAGGAGGGAUGUCGAGCUCCUGCCGCCGCCGCCGGAGACUAAGAGAUUGAGCGUGGGAUGUUUGGGUUCGAUCAGAUCGCACUGAGGAGGAUACAAGCCUGGUGUUCAUAUUUUGAUUGAAGAAGGAUGGUGGUAGUUUGGUCAAGAUCCAAAGAUGCCCAUUGUUAUAAUCUUGUAUGAUUAUGCAUAUCCCACCUCUCCAACAGGAGAGUUAUAUCCUACCUUGACAAGAUUUAAUUUCCAAUCCUAGAGUAAACUGAACCACCAAACACUAGCUUGGAUUUUUUUAGUCCUAUCCAAUUAUUAAUCCAGAAGUUUGUAGCCGUCAAAAUGAUGGAGGUUCCGGGAAGGCGGUCAAUGCACCACUACAUGUCCUCGACACAGCGAACCUCGAAGCACACGCCGCAAAUUUGGCCACUCUCAAUCGAACAGCGCCCCACCAUUGCCAUUCCGAAAUUGGCUUUCAUCAAGUAGCAAUAGCCGCACGGCCUGCCCACAGCUUCGGGUCGGUCUCCACCACCUCCACUCAGAAGCAGGUUCAGAUCUUCCAAGUUGAAAUUCCGGCCAUUAUCACCAGCUCCGGUUAUUUCUAAGCUUACCAGUUCGAGUGAUGUAAGGUUAUAGCUUAGGGAGGAUGGAGUAAUGAGAUGUUGAUAAGGGUGAUAGAUUAUGUUUCACUGUCAUUAUGUGGAAGUAGAUGAAGGCUUGGAGGUUAUGGUGUUACACAUUGGCGCUGGGAGAUGGCUUUGUUUUUGGGCUUUAAUGAAUCAUCCAGUGAUGGUAAAAUAG